GAUGAACGCUGGCGGCGUGCCUAAUACAUGCAAGUCGAGCGAACAGACGAGGAGCUUGCUCCUCUGACGUUAGCGGCGGACGGGUGAGUAACACGUGGAUAACCUACCUAUAAGACUGGGUUAACUUCGGGAAACCGGAGCUAAUACCGGAUAAUAUAUUGAACCGCAUGGUUCAAUAGUGAAAGACGGUUUUGCUGUCACUUAUAGAUGGAUCCGCGCCGCAUUAGCUAGUUGGUAAGGUAACGGCUUACCAAGGCAACGAUGCGUAGCCGACCUGAGAGGGUGAUCGGCCACACUGGAACUGAGACACGGUCCAGACUCCUACGGGAGGCAGCAGUAGGGAAUCUUCCGCAAUGGGCGAAAGCCUGACAGAGCAACGCCGCGUGAGUGAUGAAGGUCUUCGGAUCGUAAAACUCUGUUAUUAGGGAAGAACAAAUGUGUAAGUAACUAUGCACGUCUUGACGGUACCUAAUCAGAAAGCCACGGCUAACUACGUG
RNAcentral lists this ribosomal RNA (497 nucleotides) under uncultured bacterium. RNAcentral's name for it is "partial 16S ribosomal RNA". It matches the Rfam family "Bacterial small subunit ribosomal RNA", at positions 28 to 507 of the family's 1533-position model. The record is from RNAcentral.